CAGCCGCCGCGGUAAUACGUAGGGUGCAAGCGUUAAUCGGAAUUACUGGGCGUAAAGCGUGCGCAGGCGGUUAUAUAAGACAGAUGUGAAAUCCCCGGGCUCAACCUGGGAACUGCAUUUGUGACUGUAUAGCUAGAGUACGGCAGAGGGGGGUAGAAUUCCACGUGUAGCAGUGAAAUGCGUAGAGAUGUGGAGGAAUACCGAUGGCGAAGGCAGCCCUCUGGGCCAAUACUGACGCUCAUGCACGAAAGCGUGGGGAGCAAACAGGAUUAGAUACCCCUGUAGUCCCUGUCUCUUAUAC
Molecule: ribosomal RNA, 301 nt
Filed under: uncultured bacterium
Lineage: Bacteria
Description: partial 16S ribosomal RNA
Rfam family: Bacterial small subunit ribosomal RNA
Source: RNAcentral